UAGGGAAUCUUCGGCAAUGGGGGGAACCCUGACCGAGCAACGCCGCGUGAGUGAAGAAGGUUUUCGGAUUGUAAAGCUCUGUUGUUAAGGAAGAACGAGUGUGAGAAUGGAAAGUUCAUGCUGUGACGGUACUUAACCAGAAAGGGACGGCUAACUACGUGCCAGCAGCCGCGGUAAUACGUAGGUCCCGAGCGUUGUCCGGAUUUAUUGGGCGUAAAGCGAGCGCAGGCGGUUAGAAAAGUCUGAAGUGAAAGGCAGUGGCUCAACCAUUGUAGGCUUUGGAAACUGUUUAACUUGAGUGCAGAAGGGGAGAGUGGAAUUCCAUGUGUAGCGGUGAAAUGCGUAGAUAUAUGGAGGAACACCGGUGGCGAAAGCGGCUCUCUGGUCUGUAACUGACGCUGAGGCUCGAAAGCGUGGGGAGCGAACAGG
RNAcentral lists this ribosomal RNA (429 nucleotides) under Bacteroidota bacterium. Its description in RNAcentral is "Bacteroidetes bacterium partial 16S ribosomal RNA". It matches the Rfam family "Bacterial small subunit ribosomal RNA", at positions 355 to 776 of the family's 1533-position model. The record is from RNAcentral. Lineage: Bacteria; Pseudomonadati; Bacteroidota.